Molecule: ribosomal RNA, 253 nt
Filed under: uncultured bacterium
Lineage: Bacteria
Description: partial 16S ribosomal RNA
Rfam family: Bacterial small subunit ribosomal RNA
Source: RNAcentral
UACGAAGGGGGCUAGCGUUGCUCGGAAUCACUGGGCGUAAAGGGUGCGUAGGCGGGUCUUUAAGUCAGGGGUGAAAUCCUGGAGCUCAACUCCAGAACUGCCUUUGAUACUGGGGAUCUCGAGUCCGGAAGAGGUGAGUGGAACUCCGAGUGUAGAGGUGAAAUUCGUAGAUAUUCGGAAGAACACCAGUGGCGAAGGCGGCUCACUGGUCCGGUACUGACGCUGAGGUGCGAAAGCGUGGGGAGCAAACAGG